Molecule: ribosomal RNA, 382 nt
Filed under: uncultured bacterium
Lineage: Bacteria
Description: bacterial SSU rRNA
Rfam family: Bacterial small subunit ribosomal RNA
Source: RNAcentral
AUUGAACGCUGGCGGUAGGCCUAACACAUGCAAGUCGAACGCGAAAGUCCUUCGGGAUGAGUAGAGUGGCGGACGGGUGAGUAACGCGUAGGAAUCUAUCCUGUAGUGGGGGAUAACGUUUCGAAAGGAACGCUAAUACCGCAUACGCCCCAAGGGGAAAGCGGGGGAUCUUCGGACCUCGUGCUAUAGGAGGAGCCUGCGUCGGAUUAGCUAGUUGGUGAGGUAAAGGCUCACCAAGGCGACGAUCCGUAGCUGGUCUGAGAGGAUGAUCAGCCACACCGGAACUGAGACACGGUCCGGACUCCUACGGGAGGCAGCAGUGGGGAAUAUUGCGCAAUGGGCGAAAGCCUGACGCAGCCAUACCGCGUGUGUGAAGAAGGCC